GACGAACCGAGCGAACGUUAUUCGGAACCACUGGGCGUAAAGGGUGCGUAGGCCGCACGGUAAGUCAGAGGUGAAAUCCCGGAGCUCAACUUCGGAAUUGCCUCCGAUACUGCCGUGCUUGAGGACUGGAGAGGAGACUGGAAUUCAUGGUGUAGCAGUGAAAUGCGUAGAGAUCAUGAGGAAGACCAGUGGCGAAGGCGGGUCUCUGGACAGUUCCUGACACUGAGACACGAAGGCCAGGGGAGCAAACGGG
This 253-nucleotide ribosomal RNA is filed under the name uncultured bacterium. RNAcentral describes it as "partial 16S ribosomal RNA". It matches the Rfam family "Bacterial small subunit ribosomal RNA", at positions 524 to 776 of the family's 1533-position model. The record is from RNAcentral.